GGACCUUCUGCACUGCAUCUUCUUUAUCCUUCAGUUAGAGCUUCCUGUACACCUAAAAUCUUAACAUAAGCUAAGAUUUGUUCUUUCCUGUUGUAAUACCAAUGUUCACGUCAGAAAUUUAGACAAAUAAUAUCUUUUGGAAAUGAGUUCAAAAAUAAAUCGUUGUAAGCUUAAAGCGGACAAUAUUAUACUAAUCGGUAGAAAUAUAUUUGGACAUCAUCUUAUAAAUCUCAACAUUUCCAAAGAGUGUAAUCUAUUUUCCCAUCAUAGUUAUAUUUGUACUCUUCCCAUCAAAGUGCAAGCUUGCCAAUUGCCAUCAUCUGGUAUUCUGGUUAGUGAAUAGAACCCAGCUUUAACAAUGUAGUCUGCUUCUUGAGUUGGGUUGGAUUUCCUGUUGGCCUCACAGCCCAGUAAGAUAUAUUGCAUGAGUCAUUCUAAUGAGCUUUUAAAAUUGGCAGAGACAAACGCAAAAGAUAUAAAUAUAUAACUGUUACCUUUUUUAUUAAAAGUGAUAAGAUGAUAUAUUGAUAUGCUUGUUCUUCUUCAUUGAGGUGUUAUUCAUCUCAUGAAACAUUAUAAUUAAAGACUGAUUAUUAUUUCCAUGAUUGUACGGUUUAAGCUUUAUUACAUAUAUAUAUAUAUAUAUAAUUAUUUUACCAAAAUAUGUGUUCAAAAUGAUCUCUACAAAUUUUUAUUUUAUCUUGUCAUCUAAGGUAAUUUUUAUUAAUAUACUUCCAACUAAGAGAUUUGUAUGACUGGUACUGUAGGGUUACGCUUUGUGAUUUCUUUCAUAUAAGGUGAUUAGCACUUGCCUGUUUGGUAUUUCACCAGGAAGUUCCAUAAAACGAACUGCACGUUCUUUAUAACUAGCAAAGACAGACUGGAAAUAAACACUUAGAAAUUAGAAAUUGAAUGAAAGAAAAGCUAAUUCACAUUUCCACGAGAUCAUAGAUAUGGAAUCAACACGAUCUAACAAUGAUAUGGUAUCAAGCGUAACCCUGCAGUAUCUAUUUUUAGUUAAAAAUAGAUAUUGGAAAACAAAGUUUUGGCAAAAACCGAAAGAGGGUUGGGACUGAGGGAUGGAAACAUUACAACUAGAGCGUCAGCAAGGAUAUCGUGGGCAAACUGUUGCCUUCCAAAAGCCGAAGGAGGGUUGGGACUGAAGGAUCUCAUCUUAUGGAACAAAACUCUGAACCUGAAGCUCAUCUGGUUCCUGUUCCAAGAGAAUGAGUCCUUGUGGGCUUCCUGGUGUAAAGAACAUCGUUUAAAAGGAGUCAGUUUAUGGAGCCUCGAAGAGAACAAGCAAGGAUCAUGGAUUUGGAAAUCAAUAUUAAAAUUGCGUCACCUUGCUGUUCGGUUUCUUAGAUGCAACGUUGGGAAUGGUCGCUCAGCUAGCUUCUGGUAUGACCAAUGGACUCCAUUGGGACCUCUCAUCAACGUCCUCGGCCACUCGGGCCCUCGGGCAUUAGGAAUCCCACUUCACUCGUCAGUUGCUGAAGCCUGUACAGAUAUAGGAUGGAGGCUCAGACAUGCCAGAUCACCUGCAGCAGAAGCUCUCCAGCUUCAUCUAUGCACGGUACCUCUCCCUUCUACCUCUACUACCUCUGAUGCUUAUGUGUGGGAAGUAGAUAAUGAGGUUGUAGAGGCUUUCUCAUCGAAGUCAACCUGGGAAGCUAUCCGCAACAGAAGAGAACCGCAGUCAUGGACUAAAAACAUUUGGUUUAAAGGUGCUAUACCUAGUCAAGCUUUCAUGAUGUGGAUGACGCAUCUUAACCGUCUUCCCACAAGGGAACGCACUUCCAUAUGGGCUGUAAACACACUUGAUGCAUGUUGUGUUUGCAAUGUGUACUUGGAAUCAAGAGACCAUCUCUUCCUGCGGUGUGAGAUCAAUGAAAACCUUUAGCUGCUAGUGCUUCGAAGACUGGGCUAUAACCCCUUCUGGUUUCAUACUUGGACGGCUUUUACGGAGUGGCUUGGACACAGAAACAAUGUUUGCCCGAUCACGCUUCGCCGGCUUGCGGCUCAAGCGACUAUUUAUUCUAUCUGGUGGGAGCGGAAUAACAGACUGCACAACUCGAUCUCCACCCCGGUCUAAAUUACCUUCAAAAAGAUUGACAGGCUUGUUCGCAACUCCAUCACUGCAAGGUAGAACCGCAAGAAGUUUAAAAAUCUAAUGGAACUUUGGCUGAAGUAUGAAUGAACACCCCAAGCCACCAUAAUCACUUGUAAUCGUUUUCUGUUUUUCCUUUUUUUUGUCAGAGGAAGAUUACCCCGCUUAACUUUUUUGUAUUUACAAACCUUCUCAUUUUUUUAAUGAAAUUCACAUACUUAGCAAAAAAAAAAAAAAAUUUGGCAAAAGGGAAAGCUUGAUAAGCAGAUGCACAAGCAUGGCCAUCUAAUAAAUUCAAAAAAGGAAACAUAUGCAUGAUACCGCACUUAUCACGGAAAUUAAAUAAUACCUAACACUUAAACUCAAAAAAAAAAUAUAUAUAUAUAGCAUGACUGAAAUUAAAAAAAACUGUAUAUAAAUUAUUACAAGAAUACGAAGAAAAUUAGGUCCAGUGAUACUGAUAAUGCCAAACUGUAUUCUAAGUAGAGUUGUCCCUUUGUGUCUAGUGCGCUUGUGAAUUAUAUAAAUGUGAAUAUAAAUUCCCAUAGCAUCUUUAUUUCUUUAUCCGUACAUGCCACAUGUUCACAUGUCAUCUUUGGGAAAGUUUCCUUUCAUAAAAUACUUCAUAUGUCGCUUUAUGUCUUAUUUUAUCUCUGUGUAUUUGUUUGCGUAUAUUACCAUUUUAAUAAUCAGUCUAUUUGGAUAAAUUGGACUAUGGGGGAAACAUAACCAAAUUAACUGACCUCGGUAAAAUGCAAGAGGCUUUGAUCGAUGCGAAUACUUUUAAGUUUAGCCUAGAGUGCUUAAACCUCCCAAAAUGAAUUAUCUUGAAGAAAGCGUCGUCAUCUCUUUUCGUAUGAUCUUUGUCACGUUAGUAGUGGACUUC
RNAcentral lists this long non-coding RNA (2996 nucleotides) under Brassica napus (rape). RNAcentral describes it as "long non-coding RNA (BNAP_LNC006977)". The record is from RNAcentral. Lineage: Eukaryota; Viridiplantae; Streptophyta; Magnoliopsida; Brassicales; Brassicaceae.